RNAcentral lists this ribosomal RNA (386 nucleotides) under uncultured prokaryote. RNAcentral describes it as "bacterial SSU rRNA". It matches the Rfam family "Archaeal small subunit ribosomal RNA", at positions 339 to 725 of the family's 1478-position model. The record is from RNAcentral.
GCGCGAAAACUUUACAAUGCUGGCAACAGCGAUAAGGGAACCUCGAGUGCCAGGUUAUAAAUCUGGCUGUCGAGAUGCCUAAAAAGCAUUUCAUAGCAAGGGCCGGGCAAGACCGGUGCCAGCCGCCGCGGUAACACCGGCGGCUCGAGUGGUAACCGUUAUUAUUGGGUCUAAAGGGUCUGUAGCCGGCCGGAUAAGUCUCUUGAGAAAUCUGGCAGCUUAACUGUCAGGCUUUCAGGAGAUACUGUCUGGCUCGAGGCCGGGAGAGGUGAGAGGUACUUCAGGGGUAGGGGUGAAAUCUUGUAAUCCUUGAAGGACCACCAGUGGCGAAGGCGUCUCACCAGAACGGACCUGGCGGCAAGGGACGAAAGCUAGGGGCACGAACC